GCUGAGCGCCAUGGCAAACCCCCGUAGUCCCUGCUGCUGGAGGCUAAGUCUGGUGGGUCACUUGGGUUCCAGAGUUCUGAGCUGCCGUAGGAAGGGCUAAAGCUGACGGGUGUCUGCACUAAGUCUGGCACCGAUAUGGUGAGUCCCUGGAAGCAGAGAGCCACAAGGCUGCCUAAGAAGUGGCGAACCAGCCCAGGCUGGAAACAGAGCAGGUCAAAACUUCCAUUCUCAUCAGCAGCAAGGUGAGGUCUGUGAGUGGCUGCUAUUCUUACAGCUUGGGUGAGACAGAGAGACCAAGUCUUA
Molecule: signal recognition particle RNA, 303 nt
Filed under: Phascolarctos cinereus (koala)
Lineage: Eukaryota; Metazoa; Chordata; Mammalia; Diprotodontia; Phascolarctidae
Description: Metazoan signal recognition particle RNA (ENSPCIG00000006186.2)
Rfam family: Metazoan signal recognition particle RNA
About the family: The signal recognition particle (SRP) is a universally conserved ribonucleoprotein. It is involved in the co-translational targeting of proteins to membranes. The eukaryotic SRP consists of a 300-nucleotide 7S RNA and six proteins: SRPs 72, 68, 54, 19, 14, and 9.
Source: RNAcentral